Molecule: ribosomal RNA, 811 nt
Filed under: Paenarthrobacter nitroguajacolicus
Lineage: Bacteria; Bacillati; Actinomycetota; Actinomycetes; Micrococcales; Micrococcaceae
Description: bacterial SSU rRNA
Rfam family: Bacterial small subunit ribosomal RNA
Source: RNAcentral
UUGCUGGGGGAUUAGUGGCGAACGGGUGAGUAACACGUGAGUAACCUGCCCUUGACUCUGGGAUAAGCCUGGGAAACUGGGUCUAAUACCGGAUACGACCAUCUGGCGCAUGUCAUGGUGGUGGAAAGCUUUUGUGGUUUUGGAUGGACUCGCGGCCUAUCAGCUUGUUGGUGGGGUAAUGGCCUACCAAGGCGACGACGGGUAGCCGGCCUGAGAGGGUGACCGGCCACACUGGGACUGAGACACGGCCCAGACUCCUACGGGAGGCAGCAGUGGGGAAUAUUGCACAAUGGGCGCAAGCCUGAUGCAGCGACGCCGCGUGAGGGAUGACGGCCUUCGGGUUGUAAACCUCUUUCAGUAGGGAAGAAGCGAAAGUGACGGUACCUGCAGAAGAAGCGCCGGCUAACUACGUGCCAGCAGCCGCGGUAAUACGUAGGGCGCAAGCGUUAUCCGGAAUUAUUGGGCGUAAAGAGCUCGUAGGCGGUUUGUCGCGUCUGCUGUGAAAGACCGGGGCUCAACUCCGGUUCUGCAGUGGGUACGGGCAGACUAGAGUGCAGUAGGGGAGACUGGAAUUCCUGGUGUAGCGGUGAAAUGCGCAGAUAUCAGGAGGAACACCGAUGGCGAAGGCAGGUCUCUGGGCUGUAACUGACGCUGAGGAGCGAAAGCAUGGGGAGCGAACAGGAUUAGAUACCCUGGUAGUCCAUGCCGUAAACGUUGGGCACUAGGUGUGGGGGACAUUCCACGUUUUCCGCGCCGUAGCUAACGCAUUAAGUGCCCCGCCUGGGGAGUACGGCCGCAAGGCUAAAACUCA